This 467-nucleotide ribosomal RNA is filed under the name uncultured bacterium. RNAcentral describes it as "partial 16S ribosomal RNA". It matches the Rfam family "Bacterial small subunit ribosomal RNA", at positions 28 to 507 of the family's 1533-position model. The record is from RNAcentral.
GACGAACGCUGGCGGCGUGCUUAACACAUGCAGGUCGAGCGAGGCCCAUCCUUCGGGGUGGUGCCCUAGCGGCGAACGGGUGAGUAACACGUGGGCAACCUGCCCUCAGCUCUGGGAUAACUCCAAGAAAUUGGUGCUAAUACCGGAUGUGACCGCUGACCGCAUGGUCUGGUGGUGGAAAGAUUCAUCGGCUGAGGAUGGGCCCGCGGCCUAUCAGCUUGUUGGUGGGGUAAUGGCCCACCAAGGCGACGACGGGUAGCCGGCCUGAGGGGGUGACCGGCCACACUGGGACUGAGACACGGCCCAGACUCCUACGGGAGGCAGCAGUGGGGAAUAUUGCGCAAUGGGCGAAAGCCUGACGCAGCGACGCCGCGUGAGGGAUGACGGCCUUCGGGUUGUAAACCUCUUUCAGUAGGGACGAAGCGAAAGUGACGGUACCUACAGAAGAAGCACCGGCCAACUACGUG